RNAcentral lists this ribosomal RNA (342 nucleotides) under uncultured bacterium. Its description in RNAcentral is "bacterial SSU rRNA". It matches the Rfam family "Bacterial small subunit ribosomal RNA", at positions 32 to 365 of the family's 1533-position model. The record is from RNAcentral.
AAUCAACGCUGACGGCGUGCCUCAGACAUGCAAGUCGAACGAUUAAAGCUCUCUUCGGAGAGUGCAUAGAGUGGCGCACGGGUGAGUAACACGUAAGUAAUCUACCUUCGAGUGGGGAAUAACGUCCGGAACGGACGCUAAUACCGCAUAAUGCAGCGGCAUCGCAAGAUGACAGUUGUUAAAGGAGCAAUUCGCUUGAAGAGGAGCUUGCGGCAGAUUAGCUUGUUGGUAAGGUAACGGCUUACCAAGGCUACGAUCUGUAACCGGUCUAAGAGGACGGUCGGUCACACUGACACUGAAUAACGGGUCAGACUCCUACGGGAGGCAGCAGUCGGGAAUUUU